Molecule: non-coding RNA, 180 nt
Filed under: Spongiibacter sp. IMCC21906
Lineage: Bacteria; Pseudomonadati; Pseudomonadota; Gammaproteobacteria; Cellvibrionales; Spongiibacteraceae
Description: 6S / SsrS RNA
Rfam family: 6S / SsrS RNA
About the family: E. coli 6S RNA was the first non coding RNA to be sequenced, but its function was unknown until recently. It consists of 184 nucleotides that fold into an extended hairpin structure with a large single-stranded internal bulge. The 6S RNA specifically associates with RNA polymerase holoenzyme containing the sigma70 specificity factor.
Source: Rfam by way of RNAcentral
UCAACCCUGGGAUAUUUGCUAGGCCGUCAGACCCCUGAGCCGAUGCUUUUAUACCCGGAGAGUUCUAGCCGUCAUCCGUGUGCAUGUCCGCAAGUCGGAAAGCCUAAAGAUGGCGCGGAACGAUCCACCUUGAACCGCUGGGUUCAAGGGCCACGCGGCCGGCGGUAUCUCGGGGCCUUU